Molecule: long non-coding RNA, 205 nt
Organism: Perognathus longimembris pacificus (Pacific pocket mouse)
Lineage: Eukaryota; Metazoa; Chordata; Mammalia; Rodentia; Heteromyidae
Exons: 2
Source: RefSeq, a predicted model, not a curated record
UUUGGGGAUCGCUAAUACAAGUCCCGAGUGCGCACCAUGAUCCAUAUAGCAGAUGGCAUGCUAUCAGUACUGGGAGAAAGUCUCAGGCCAAUGUCACUUACAGUUAAAGAAAGCAUUGAAGUCCUCGUCACUAUCAAAAUCAAAGCGAGAAUAUUCACAGCUGGGAUUAUCUGUCUUGGAAGGAAAGCCCAUCUGGAAAGAAAAA